UUACUAGAGUAGCACUCGCAUAUCAAUAAGCGGAGGAAAAGAAACUAACAAGGAUUCCCCUAGUAACGGCGAGUGAAGCGGGAAGAGCUCAAAUUUGAAAUCUUAAAGGGUUUCCCUUUACGAAUUGUAGUUUAAAGAAGUGUUUUCUGUUGAGGUUUUGGUAAAAGUUCUUUGGAAUAGGACAUCAUAGAGGGUGAGAAUCCCGUAUUUGACCUUUACUUUCAACUUUGUGAUACACUUUCAAAGAGUCGGAUUGUUUGGGAAUGCAGUCCAAAAUGGGUGGUAAAUUUCAUCUAAAGCUAAAUAUUGGCGAGAGACCGAUAGCGAACAAGUACCGUGAGGGAAAGAUGAAAAGAACUUUGAAAAGAGAGUUAAACAGUACGUGAAAUUGUCAAAAGGGAAGCGUUUGACACCAGUGUUGUUUUUCUGAAAAUCAAUUAAAGAACUGUUUAUGCUAAGUUGUUUAGACUUUAUCAGCUAUCUGCUUAGUUUUGAGCUUUUCUUUAAUGCACUUUUCAGUUAACAAGUCAACAUCAAUUUCUUUUGCUGUAAAAAAGCUUGAGGAAGGUGGCUUGAGAUUCGUCUUAAGUGUUUAUAGCCUCUUGCCUAUGCAGUCGGAGAGAUUGAGGUCUGCAGCGUAGAUCCUUCGGGGCUAAAUGCAUUUGUGCUAAGUUAUAGCAUUUUAUAGACAACUUGUUGACUAUGAUUUGUCUUGUAGCUUACUCGCUUAUGUUAUUUUACCUACGCUUAGGAUGUUGAACUACUGAGACAUAGA
This 775-nucleotide ribosomal RNA is filed under the name uncultured Neocallimastigales. RNAcentral describes it as "partial large subunit ribosomal RNA". It matches the Rfam family "Eukaryotic large subunit ribosomal RNA", at positions 1 to 644 of the family's 3401-position model. Lineage: Eukaryota; Fungi; Neocallimastigomycota; Neocallimastigomycetes; Neocallimastigales. The record is from RNAcentral.